AGUGAACGCUGGCGGUAGGCCUAACACAUGCAAGUCGAACGGCAGCACAGUAAGAGCUUGCUCUUACGGGUGGCGAGUGGCGGACGGGUGAGGAAUACAUCGGAAUCUACUUUUUCGUGGGGGAUAACGUAGGGAAACUUACGCUAAUACCGCAUACGACCUACGGGUGAAAGCAGGGGAUCUUCGGACCUUGCGCGAUUGAAUGAGCCGAUGUCGGAGUAGCUAGUUGGCGGGGUAAAGGCCCACCAAGGCGACGAUCCGUAGCUGGUCUGAGAGGAUGAUCAGCGACACGGGAACUGAGACACGGUCCAGACGCCUACGGGAGGCAGCAGUGGGGAAUAUUGGACAAUGGGCGCAAGCCUGAUCCAGCCAUACCGCGUGGGUGAAGAAGGCCUUCGGGUUGUAAAGCCCUUUUGUUGGGAAAGAAAAGCAGCAGGUUAAGACCCCGCUGUUCUGACGGUACCCAAAGAAUAAGCACCGGCUAACUUCGUG
RNAcentral lists this ribosomal RNA (492 nucleotides) under uncultured bacterium. Its description in RNAcentral is "partial 16S ribosomal RNA". It matches the Rfam family "Bacterial small subunit ribosomal RNA", at positions 29 to 507 of the family's 1533-position model. The record is from RNAcentral.